This 45-nucleotide transfer RNA is filed under the name Sphenomorphus melanopogon. Its description in RNAcentral is "partial tRNA-Ser". Lineage: Eukaryota; Metazoa; Chordata; Lepidosauria; Squamata; Scincidae. The record is from RNAcentral.
CCGAGGGGUGUGUGUACACAAAGAACUGCUAAUUCCUUGCCCUAA